Molecule: long non-coding RNA, 368 nt
Filed under: Elaeis guineensis (African oil palm)
Lineage: Eukaryota; Viridiplantae; Streptophyta; Magnoliopsida; Arecales; Arecaceae
Description: long non-coding RNA (EGUI_LNC013971)
Source: RNAcentral
AAAAAAAAAAAAGUUAACAAAAGUGUGUUCUAGGUGUCCUCCAUAAACCAAAUCAAAAGGCUGGUUAAAUUCAUUAAUAAAACAUGAUGUACAGAGAGGAAGAGUUUCAACCAUAAUCCAAUACCCAUAAGGAUAAUAUCUUACUAUUGCCAUCGGGGAGUUGAUCUGGCUUAAACCGUUGAACUGAAGUUGAAGAGAGGGAAUGUGGCAGUCUCAAGAUGGCCGGACGAGACCUCCGAAAGAGCUGUUGGUGUCUGAUCCUCAAUCGAUCCCAUAAGUUGGAUCUUGUAAAAUUAUCAAAGAUAGAAAAAUCUUCACGUUAGAAGAGUUUUCUAGUGGUGGAUCCAUCGAUGCCUUAGUCAAUCUCU